CGCCCCGCCCUGCCCCGAAUCCUCGAUCACCGCGGCAGAACACCGGCGAUAUGGAAGUAUUGCACUGCCCCGCUCCACCCCGUGGCCGACGACGGACGGCCGUGCCGCGCAGCUUCUCCGCGCCGCCACCAGCGACGGCCGACAGACAGUGACCUAGAAGUUAGGCUACACUGAAUCUGUGCUAAGUUUAUAAGCACUGAGGGUGUUGAAGACAAAGAUGCUGAAGAACGUCUUGAGCCAGUCAUGGAGGAAGGGGGCACAUGUGCUACGGGAAGGGCAUCCAGCUAAAGCACUAUAUGCUUGUUCAAGUCGAUUUCACAGCGGGCAGUGUUGUUUGGCCGGAAUCGGAGAUGAACAUGGGUAGUUGGUAGUAAUAGCAGGAAGAUAUUCCUUACUUAUUUUUUUCUUUCAAAAUGCCUUCUAAACAUAAAUGCUGCCAUGGUAACUUCUUAGAUGGCAGGUCACUUAUCUUGUUUUUUCAUGAUGUUGCAGUGUUGUUUGGCCGGAAUCGGAGACGAACAUGGCGGAGGCGAGCAGCAAGGAGAAGCAGCCCCUAGGUGCUCCUGGGCAGGAGGAAGAGGAUCGAGCGGAGCGCGAUCUAGGGAUCAUGGAGUGAACCUAGAGGAAUAUUGUGUGCGGAGGAGCACGUCGGAGCAAAAUUGUAAUAUGAGCAAAAUUGUAAUUACUGUUCAGUUUAAAUACAAUUAUGUAGAGAAACUUUGGAUCGUAUAUAAUAAAGAGCGUAUAGAAUAAUUAGUGAA
Molecule: long non-coding RNA, 761 nt
Organism: Lolium perenne
Lineage: Eukaryota; Viridiplantae; Streptophyta; Magnoliopsida; Poales; Poaceae
Source: RefSeq, a predicted model, not a curated record